UACGGGGGGUGCGAGCGUUGUCCGGAAUCACUGGGCGUAAAGGGCGCGUAGGUGGCGCGAGUAGUCAACGGUGAAAGCCCGGGGCUCAACCCCGGGUCGGCCGUCGAUACUCUCGUGCUUGAGCACUGUAGAGGCAGGUGGAAUUCCGGGUGUAGCGGUGGAAUGCGUAGAGAUCCGGAAGAACACCGGUGGCGAAGGCGGCCUGCUGGGCAGUAGCUGACACUGAGGCGCGACAGCGUGGGGAGCAAACAGG
RNAcentral lists this ribosomal RNA (253 nucleotides) under uncultured bacterium. RNAcentral's name for it is "partial 16S ribosomal RNA". It matches the Rfam family "Bacterial small subunit ribosomal RNA", at positions 524 to 776 of the family's 1533-position model. The record is from RNAcentral.